CAUGCACCAGUGGGGUCCCUCAGCCUGGCCUGUGCACUCUUGCAAUCCAGAACCCCUCAGGGAAUGUUGGAGAGCCAGUUUCAGCCUGAUCCUGCAGGCCAGGCUGAGGGACCCCACUGGUGCACA
Non-coding RNA from Myotis brandtii (Brandt's bat), 126 nucleotides. The record is from Rfam. NCBI's taxonomy places the organism in Eukaryota, Metazoa, Chordata, Mammalia, Chiroptera, Vespertilionidae.